RNAcentral lists this ribosomal RNA (253 nucleotides) under uncultured bacterium. RNAcentral describes it as "partial 16S ribosomal RNA". It matches the Rfam family "Bacterial small subunit ribosomal RNA", at positions 524 to 776 of the family's 1533-position model. The record is from RNAcentral.
UACAGAGGUCUCAAGCGUUGUUCGGAUUCAUUGGGCGUAAAGGGUGCGUAGGCGGCGCGGUAAGUCGGGUGUGAAAUCUCGGAGCUUAACUCCGAAACUGCAUUCGAUACUGCCUUGCUCGAGUACUGGAGAGGAGACUGGAAUUUACGGUGUAGCAGUGAAAUGCGUAGAUAUCGUAAGGAAGACCAGUGGCGAAGGCGAGUCUCUGGACAGUUACUGACACUGAGGCACGAAGGCCAGGGGAGCAAACGGG